This 1498-nucleotide ribosomal RNA is filed under the name human gut metagenome. RNAcentral's name for it is "bacterial LSU rRNA". It matches the Rfam family "Bacterial large subunit ribosomal RNA", at positions 1349 to 2925 of the family's 2925-position model. The record is from RNAcentral.
GGUUUCUGGAGGAAGGUUCGUCCGCUCCAGGUUAGUCGGGAGCUAAGGUGAGGCCUAACGGCGUAGCCGAUGCACAGACGGUAGAGAUUCCGUCACCACCAAAAGAGUUAAACACAGGGACACAUUUGAAGUCUCGGAGCCGGGUGUUGGUUCCGGUAGCGAUCGAGGGAAGUUAGUACCGAAGUCCGGGAUGGAAGAUGGCGAGAAAAGCUGUGUGUAUUUCUGCGGUGCCCGUACCGCAAACCGACACAGGUAGGUAGGAAGAAGAUUCUAAGGCCAACGGGAGAAGGGUUGUUAAGGAACUCGGCAAAUUGACCCCGUAACUUCGGGAGAAGGGGUGCUCCAGAGAUGGAGCCGCAGAGAAUCGGCCCAAGCAACUGUUUACCAAAAACACAGGUUUGUGCUAAAUCGAAAGAUGACGUAUACGAGCUGACGCCUGCCCGGUGCUGGAAGGUUAAGAGGAGAUGUGCAAGCAUUGAAUCGAAGCCCCAGUGAACGGCGGCCGUAACUAUAACGGUCCUAAGGUAGCGAAAUUCCUUGUCAGGUAAGUUCUGACCCGCAUGAAAGGCGUAAUGAUUUGGGCACUGUCUCGACAGCCCGCCCGGCGAAAUUGUAGUACCGGUGAAGAUGCCGGUUACCCGCGACAAGACGGAAAGACCCCAUGGAGCUUUACUGUAGCCUAAUAUUGGGUUUCGAUGUUGCAUGCACAGGAUAGAUGGGACACUGGGAAGCAAGUGCUUUGGCAUUUGUGGAGUGGCCGUUGGGAUACCAUCCUUGCGAUAUUGGAAUUCUAACCUGCGCCUUUGAAUCAAGGCGGGGGACAUUGUUAGGUGGGCAGUUUGACUGGGGCGGUCGCCUCCUAAAGAGUAACGGAGGCGUUCAAAGGUUCGCUCAGCUUGAACGGAAAUCAAGCAAAAGAGUGCAAACGCAGAAGCGAGCCUAACUGCGAGACUGACGGGUCGAGCAGUAACGAAAGUUGGAGUUAGUGAUCCGGUGGUAUGUGAGUGGAAAUGCCAUCGCUCAACGGAUAAAAGUUACCCUGGGGAUAACAGGCUGAUCUCCCCCAAGAGUCCACAUCGACGGGGAGGUUUGGCACCUCGAUGUCGGCUCAUCGCAUCCUGGGGCUGUAUUCGGUCCCAAGGGUUUGGCUGUUCGCCAAUUAAAGCGGUACGCGAGCUGGGUUCAGAACGUCGUGAGACAGUUCGGUCCCUAUCUGUCGUGGGCGCAGGAUAUUUGAUGGGAGCUGUUCCUAGUACGAGAGGACCGGAGCGGACGUACCUCUGGCGCACCAGUUGUUCUGCCAAGGGCAUAGCUGGGCAACUAUGUACGGAUCGGAUAAACGCUGAAAGCAUCUAAGCGUGAAGCCGACCCAAAGAUAAGAUAUCCCAUUGUUUCAAACAAGUAAGACCCCUUGAAGACUACAAGGUUGAUAGGCACGAUGUGUAAGUGGAGCGAUCCAUUCAGCAAGCGUGUACUAAUAGGUCGAGGGCUUGACCAC